RNAcentral lists this ribosomal RNA (274 nucleotides) under uncultured bacterium. RNAcentral's name for it is "partial 16S ribosomal RNA". It matches the Rfam family "Bacterial small subunit ribosomal RNA", at positions 523 to 796 of the family's 1533-position model. The record is from RNAcentral.
AUACGGGGGGUGCAAGCGUUAAUCGGAAUUACUGGGCGUAAAGCGCGCGUAGGCGGUUUGCUCAGUCGGAUGUGAAAGCCCAGGGCUCAACCUUGGAACUGCAUACGAUACUGGCAAACUAGAGUGUGAGAGAGGAUAGUGGAAUUUCCGGUGUAGCGGCGAAAUGCGUAGAUAUCGGAAGGAACAUCAGUGGCGAAGGCGACUGUCUGGCUCAACACUGACGCUGAGGUGCGAAAGCGUGGGUAGCAAACAGGAUUAGAAACCCUAGUAGUCC